Molecule: ribosomal RNA, 501 nt
Filed under: Colletotrichum gloeosporioides
Lineage: Eukaryota; Fungi; Ascomycota; Sordariomycetes; Glomerellales; Glomerellaceae
Description: eukaryotic LSU rRNA
Rfam family: 5.8S ribosomal RNA (bases 195-346)
Source: RNAcentral
AGACGAUCAUAUGAUUUCCUCAUACCCAUAUAUGAUGACAUCCAUAUAUAACAUGAUAUGCAUAUCGGCGGGAUAGGGAUCAUCCGAUGACCCAUCCCGGCCAUCCCGCCCCCGGGCGGGAUCGGCGCCCGCCGGAGGAUAAACAAACUCUGAUUUAACGACGUUUCUUCUGAGUGGUACAAGCAAAUAAUCAAAACUUUUAACAACGGAUCUCUUGGUUCUGGCAUCGAUGAAGAACGCACGAAAUGCGAUAAGUAAUGUGAAUUGCAGAAUUCAGUGAAUCAUCGAAUCUUUGAACGCACAUUGCGCCCGCCAGCAUUCUGGCGGGCAUGCCUGUUCAGCGUCAUUUCAACCCUCAGCUCUGCUUGGUGUUGGGGCCCUACAUGAUGUAGCCCUCAAGAAAGACGGACCCUCCGACCUCCUAUGCUAUACUUUCACAGAUCCAAGACACAUGCAAAACCCAUACCCAGAUGACUCGAUCGGAGAAACCCUAACAUAACC